AUACGGAGGGUGCAAGCGUUAAUCGGAAUUACUGGGCGUAAAGCGCGCGUAGGCGGUUAGAUAAGUCGGAUGUGAAAUCCCUGGGCUCAACCUGGGAACUGCAUUCGAUACUGUCUAACUAGAGUAUGGUAGAGGGAAGUGGAAUUCCGGGUGUAGCGGUGAAAUGCGUAGAUAUCCGGAGGAACAUCAGUGGCGAAGGCGACUUCCUGGACCAAUACUGACGCUGAGGUGCGAAAGCGAGGGGAGCAAACAGGAUUAGAUACCCUAGUAGUCC
RNAcentral lists this ribosomal RNA (274 nucleotides) under uncultured bacterium. RNAcentral describes it as "partial 16S ribosomal RNA". It matches the Rfam family "Bacterial small subunit ribosomal RNA", at positions 523 to 796 of the family's 1533-position model. The record is from RNAcentral.